AUAGACUUCCACUAAAACCGAAUAAAAAAUAGAGACCCCAAGGCUGGAAUAACGGAAUUGAUGGAAAUAUCUGAAUAUACUGAAACAGCAUUCUUCGUCUCUACAACAGGAACAAGAUUGUCUACUCAGUGCUUGGUGGUGGUGGUGGCGGCGUCUAGUAGAUACAAUAUAUGACUUGAUUUUAAUGGUUUUCUGUAGCAGAAUAGUUUUCUGUCCUUGGUGUGGGAAAAACUUUGUGAAAUAAAAUCAAAUAAAUCUC
Thamnophis sirtalis is the source of this 259-nucleotide non-coding RNA. Lineage: Eukaryota; Metazoa; Chordata; Lepidosauria; Squamata; Natricidae. The record is from RefSeq and is a predicted model, not a curated record.